CCCAGUUCGGACUGCAGCCUGCAACCCGGCUGCACGAAGCCGGAAUCGCUAGUAAUCGCAGAUCAGCAUGCUGCGGUGAAUACGUCCCCGGGUCUUGUACACACCGCCCGUCACACCAUGGGAGCCGGGAAUGCCCGAAGUCAGCGGCCCAACCGGAAAGGGGGAGCUGCCGAAGGCAGGCCUGGUGACUGGGGUGAAGUCGUAACAAGGUACC
This 214-nucleotide ribosomal RNA is filed under the name uncultured bacterium. RNAcentral describes it as "partial 16S ribosomal RNA". It matches the Rfam family "Bacterial small subunit ribosomal RNA", at positions 1287 to 1500 of the family's 1533-position model. The record is from RNAcentral.